This 254-nucleotide ribosomal RNA is filed under the name uncultured bacterium. Its description in RNAcentral is "partial 16S ribosomal RNA". It matches the Rfam family "Bacterial small subunit ribosomal RNA", at positions 524 to 776 of the family's 1533-position model. The record is from RNAcentral.
UACGUAGGGGCAAGCGUUGUCCGGAAUCAUUGGGCGUAAAGAGCGUGUAGGCGGCUUGGUAAGUCCGCUGUGAAAGUCCAGGGCUCAACCCUGGAAUGCCGGUGGAAACUGUCAAGCUUGAGUCCGGAAGAGGCGAAGUGGAAUUCCUGGUGUAGCGGUGAAAUGACGCAGAUAUCAGGAGGAACACCAAUGGCGAAGGCAGCUCGCUGGGACGGUACUGACGCUGAGACGCGAAAGCGUGGGGAGCAAACAGG